RNAcentral lists this ribosomal RNA (462 nucleotides) under uncultured bacterium. Its description in RNAcentral is "partial 16S ribosomal RNA". It matches the Rfam family "Bacterial small subunit ribosomal RNA", at positions 29 to 507 of the family's 1533-position model. The record is from RNAcentral.
UACGCACGCUGGCGGCGUGCUUAACACAUGCAAGUCGAGCGGUAAGGCCUUUCGGGGUACACGAGCGGCGAACGGGUGAGUAACACGUGGGUGAUCUGCCCUGCACUUCGGGAUAAGCCUGGGAAACUGGGUCUAAUACCGGAUAUGACCUCCUAUCGCAUGGUGGGUGGUGGAAAGAUUUAUCGGUGCAGGAUGGGCCCGCGGCCUAUCAGCUUGUUGGUGGGGUAAUGGCCUACCAAGGCGACGACGGGUAGCCGACCUGAGAGGGUGACCGGCCACACUGGGACUGAGACACGGCCCAGACUCCUACGGGAGGCAGCAGUGGGGAAUAUUGCACAAUGGGCGAAAGCCUGAUGCAGCGACGCCGCGUGAGGGAUGACGGCCUUCGGGUUGUAAACCUCUUUCAGCAGGGACGAAGCGCAAGUGACGGUACCUGCAGAAGAAGCACCGGCUAACUACGUG